CUCGGGCGAGCUCUCCAGCCGCGGCCCCCGCCCCUGCGCUGUCGGGCGGGGAGGUCGGAAACCCCCUGGCGAGACCACGGGCGGACGCUUCCCGAAGAGCUGCCUGGGCCGCAGCCGCGGAAGCUGCGUUCUGGGGAGCGGGGAGCGUGCUCUGGCGCCCUCGGGCCGCUGCUGGAAGCCAGAACCGAGCCCGGGCCGCUGCCCCUCACCGGACGCCGCGCGCCACCGGCCCUCCGCGGGGCAGGGGCUGCUGCGAGCUCGCCGGGCGCCCUUUAGACAGUCGUCCUUGUCUACUCCACUACCAAAUGUUGAAGUUCUUCAAGAAUCAGUCCUUUGGAGGUG
RNAcentral lists this long non-coding RNA (342 nucleotides) under Pan troglodytes (chimpanzee). RNAcentral's name for it is "long non-coding RNA NONPTRT002108". The record is from RNAcentral. Lineage: Eukaryota; Metazoa; Chordata; Mammalia; Primates; Hominidae.